CCCUACUCGCAAAGACGGAGAAGCAAAAAUCCCUUUUCUGAAACCCAAGUCCCUUACUAUUUUCGGCAGCUUGCUUUUGAAAUCAGCAACCCUACUGAUAAAAUGAUCCAAUCAGUCCUUCCCAGUUGUCAAGACAACAGUUCAUAAUUGUACCAGCUCUUUUCAUUGCAGCUAGACAUUUCAUAAAUAGAUAAUUCUCUAAUUGAUCCAGCCAAUCCUACUUUGCAUACCCUGCCAAACUAGCACAAGGAAUACCAUAUAUCAAAGCUGACCCCAUACUUCAGAUGUGUUCCAGGAUGGAUCUCCAAGCUGAAGACAGGAGAAUCUGAACGGUAUUUGAAGCAGUGAUAAUAUAACAGCAAGAGCCCAUCCAGGAAAGCAGUCAUGGCAUUGCCAGGACAUGAGCACCGAAUACCUCCAAACAUGUCCGUGGUGUGAGCAGCCUCCUGCAGGUGUCAAACUGGAUUUCUGAGGUGCUGCAGGACUGUGAUCCUUCUGAUCACCGUAAACAUAAGCACAGACUCUUUAGUGCAGUCCUGAUUUCUGUAUUAAUGAAUUGAGAAGAUGACAUCAGGCUCUUAGAGCACUGAGAGUUUUACACUGGUUGGGACUGCUUCAUCAUUCUGCGUGGGACUGGCAGCCAGCUGGGAGGUCCGCAGCACAAGCAGCUCUCUGUGAUGUUAAUUGACAGCGAUUGUUAUCAGCCCCACACAGGAUUAAGCAUUAAAAGAAUAACACUUUGUGGAUUGCAGUUUUAUUCACCACUUCACUGAAAUGCUGUGUGUUUUUUUAAUAUUCUGUGUACCAGAUUUAUUGUUAUUAUUAUAAACUGCUAUUGAUGUAUUGACUUGCACAGCUUGUUAUUACAGAAAGAAAAUGUUGUCAUACAGGAAAUUUGCUUCCUGAGAAUUUUGUUUUCACGAUUUACUUUCACUGCAGUUUGCUGUUGACUCAAUCCAAAGUGGCGUCUGUGGCUACUGACCACAUUUUUGAGGCUGUUCUUAGUUCUAAAGCAAAAUUUUUGUGUUGGUAUCAUCCAUGUAAUAACUAUCCAGGUGUUAUGUGGCUAGCAGUCCUUGCUGUUAAGUUCUUGGAUAUGGUACAGAGACUUAUGGGUUUGUUCACCCACUCCCCCUUCCACACUCUUAACAUAUGACCUUAGUUUUUUUCUGCAGAUCCGCUGGGAAAGACAAGUAUCUUGAGUGUAGCCAACACAGUUUUCUUCCUUGAUUCUGUUCAAAGAUGCAUACCUGGUCGUAUUCGUUAUCAUACUAUCUGUUUCACAUAACCUGAAAGUGAGGGCAGAAAGGAAUACUCUUCAAAAGAUAGUUAGUUGCUUGACGUAAGAUUGUGAUGAAGGUUGUCGUUCCAGUUCCUGAUAUAGAGAAACACCACAAAGGAACUUACUCUGGAGAUCAGGCAGAUCAGCAUCAGGAACUGCAGAACUGUCUUCUGUGGAGGACAUCUACAGAUCCUUUCAAAACAGAAAGCUGGGGAUCUUUGGAGAAACUAGAUACCAGUAUUCAAAAGAGCUAUUUUCCUUGGUAGGGAGCCCUUGUCACAACUUCAUAUCAUUUUCAACCUAUAUGAUAUUUCAAGGUUUAAAUGUCACAAAACAACUAUUUCUGAUGGCUUGGACCCAAGAGUUCAGUCAGAGCUGAUAUGUAAGACAAUGGUUAGGUUCAUUAGUUAGGCUUAUUGAGAUAAAUUCUUUUCUAGAUUAAUUUAAAGAGCCCUUAACAUUCACCAUAUGCUUACCAACAUAUUACUAAUCAGAAAAAAACUGUGUUUAAGUAAGGAGUGGUCAUCUUCGACUUGUACAUAUGUGAACCCUUCCACAUUUUUAUUUUCUUCCUAAAUUCUAGUGUCUUCAUUCCAUGAUACCUUUAUACAAAUAUAACCUUCCCUACACAUGUUAUGAGUUAGGGGUGAUGCAUGCUGGAGAGAGAGAAGAGGAAAAAUAGUAAUUGUAAAUAUAAAUUCACCGGAAGUGAAUCAUCAUGCAUAUACUUCGAUGGCUGAAAAAUAUAUAUUUAUUUCAAUUUCCUUCAUUUAUUUCAGUUUCUUGAGUUACUUGGACUCACCUGAAUUUAGAUUCAAGAGGACUUUAACAUAAAAUAUAUAGAUGAAUUUCAUGAUAUGUAUUUCAUUUUUUUAUCUAGUUUUGUAAUAAGCAGUGAAAAUCCAAAGUGUCACAAAUCAGCUAUGUCCAGUCCAAACGGAUCCUGGUGGACAAUAUUGCUGCUGUGAAAUGCCUUAGAAAUUAUUCUUCCCAGGGAAGAAUCAGAAGUAGGACCAAACCAUAGUUCUGAAUAUCUCUGAUAUGGAAGGGCAGUAUAUUUUAAAUGACAGUCCAGAAAACUCUGGAAGAACCAACUGGAGAUUCAUAGUAAAAAGAACCUGAUAUUUACUAGAAGUUUCUUCUGUUGUUGUUGUUUUGUCAUUUUUGUUUGUUUGUUUUUCUUUCUUGUUUGUUUUCAAAUCUUACUCGUGGAUGUAUAAAAUAUAAAGUUAUCUGUAGAACUAUUUCAGUUAAAGUCAGUUCCAAAGUGUGUGUUUGUUAUGAUUCAUAGGUGGCAAUUCAGCAUAAAAAUGAGGGAUAGUUUGCCCAGGAAGACAGACCAACUCCUAAUGUGUAUAACCAAAGUGCUGGGAGAAAUCUGUGUUGACCUGACACAGAGACAGCAGCAGCAGACAUGGACAUUGGAAUUCUUGUUAUUCUAAAAAAUGACAGGGGGAUCUGUGCACCGAGGAAUGAGGGGCUUGUACAGAGGAACUUUAUGCAGAUAUGGAUAUUUUAUUAUUAUUUUUUUCCUUAUUUCUGUAUUUUAUACCCUGUCAAGUGAGAAGUUUAUCAUUUAAUUCUAAAUGAGGGUAAACCUAAAGAAAAUAUAAAGGCCCUCUACAUAAGCUCCUGGAGGCAUAAACAUUAUUUAUAGCACUUCAUUCUUAUUUAACUGAGGCAAGUAAGUGCUAUAACUGCACAAAAUAAAGAGAUUAGAAAUGCGAUUUAACACAGUCAGGAACGAAGGUUAUUCAUCAGAAACAGCCAUUCAUUUUUAUUUAUUUAUUUAUUUUCCUCCAUUUUUCAUUGGCAUAGUUGACUAACACCCUGUUUUGAUAUUGACAGUUCAGGUAGGAGCAAAUGCAAGCACUAAUGACUUGGAUGAGUUUCUGCUCUUUGAAUUUGCUAGAGAUUUUAUUAAAUAACACUGUAGCUCAGGGUGAGCUGAUUGUGUUUCACAGCCUAUUUCCCCAUACUCCCUAAAUGCUGAUUUACCUAGAAUGAAAUGCAUGUACACAUACUCUGGAGCAUGUGUUAAAGCUGUGCUAAACAUUUUCCAUGUAACUUCCAGCUGGUAACAUUUUGCCAGAAAGCCUGGUACUUAGAAAUGAUAAAUAAAUAAAACAAACAGAAACUUGUGCUGUAAUAAGGAGACAAUGGAACAGCUGCAGGGCAUGGAGUAAAUUCAGCUUGACUUGAUGUGGACACAGUGGCUGGAUUUUACCCAAGAGAUAUUAGCAACGUUCAGAUUCCUAAAGGGAGGACUGUGGAAAGGGAAGAAGGGAUCUCAUUGGGAGGUCUCUUAGCACAUUUGGAAUAAUAAACACAGAAAUGAUGAAAAAUAAUAUUUAAGCAGCAAAAUCAGCAUGCACUGUCCUCCUGUAGGAUGUUGAAAAAAUAUGAACUUGUCUUGAGAAGAAAAAAUAAUGAACAGCGCUUUGUUUUGUUUUAUUUUGUUUGGAGGGAGAAUGCAAAGAAGAUGGAAGGGGGGCUGGAGCCUGGGGAGGCAAACUGUGUGACAACAGCCAUCAAAUGAAGGAAAGAGAAACAGCGAAGGUAAAGAAAGAAAGAGCAAACAGGGUGUGUAUCAAGUGUGCUAUUAAAGUGUGUUACUCAUUAAAAGAAAAGAAACACCCUCCAAAUUUCUUUAAUUCUAUUUGUAAGGGCAAAAGUAACACAUAGCAUAAAUACUUCUGUCAUGAAAACACUUUCACUUCAAGCAAAAACGUGCACAGUUCCUCAGCACCAGUAGUGGUAAGUACAAACACAACAGCAAAAGUUACAGUAGGUGGCACAUUUAUGUCUGUUUUUCUUUACCUUUCAUGGGUGGGCUUUCUUUUACUUUUACUUAUAGUAGUGUACAUUGAUCUUUGUGGAAUAUCUUAUAGCAACAGCCCAUUGAGUAUUAUUGGUGUUCUCUUGCUAUUUUGGGCAAAAUCCUAAUCUUUCUUUCCCAUACAAGGUGGUUCCAUAUAUAAUGUAUUUAUGUUUAUAGCUUUAGGCACUCACUUUUGAAUACAGUGACCUUAGAACUGUGCAAGGACCAGUGUCAGUGGUGAAACCAUAAACCAGACAUAAACCUUGUAAACAGUAUAUGUAAACUUGGUAAAUCAGGUUCCUGUACAUUAAUUUCCUGUCACUCAACUGGUAGGCAGAACUUUCCAGGAUGGAAACUGUAGUAGUUUAAGAGAAAGUAAAAUAGGGUCACAUUAAUCUGUACUCUCUUAUGUUUUCACUCAAAUGCAUAAAGGAGGCUAGGAGAGAAUUUCCAACAUAACUGUCACUCUAACUUUGGCUUGACUGGUUUGUCAAGAUCAAAUGACUUCACUUUUCUGGUAUGUGCUCCUCUGCCUUUUACAUCCUUGAUAUCCCAGUUUAUACAUGUGCACAUGCUGACUUCCUCCAGGACACCACAACCCAUCCUGAUAAUUGCACUGCUAAUGCUACCUGCUGUGUUAAAGGUCAGCAGAAAGGCCUUAGCGGUGAAGUGGCACUUGCCUAUCAAAAUGCAAAAUACUGGGGUGAAUGAAGUAAAACUCAACUAUUUUAUGUUACAAAACUCGAAACAUUCAAAGCCAAGUAUAUCAUUCUCAUGUUCCAAUACACGAAAAGAAUGUCACAGCAUGACUCCAUCUUCAUGACGGAGGCUGAAAGAAGAAUGAAAAAUAAUGCAAAGAUAUCUCCUUGUUAAAAUUUAUUGUAAUCAUGUGUUCUUCCUCUGCUAUUGCACUGAAAUAAAGACAUUUUAAUCCCACAGUACAACUGAGAGACCUCAUCUAAAAACUGCAAAAACUCUGGUUCUGAUAUUUUGAAACUCAGAGUACUUGUCACUUGUGAAUAUUCAUACAGACCAUUGAAAAAAUUAAAUUCUGCCUGCAAUGUUACAUGAAAUGAACAAGGAAAUGAACAAGGUAAAUCACAAAUAGACAACAGUAUUUUAUGGAACAUUUUAGAAACAUCGAGGGCAUCCACCAUAAAAUUCUUGUAGAAAAAUCAUUCGGGAUAAUACCAUCAUGGACCACAUGCUUUAGCGAUAAACAAAAUACAGGAAUCUGUCUUAAAGUCUAAUAAAGUUUUGAAUUCUUCAAGGUAACCUAGUAAUGCUUUUUUAUCCUACAUGCAGGAGUAUUCAUGCUGCUAAGACAUGGAAUAAAUAAGGCUUGUACAAACUUUGUAACAAAGAAGCUAGGAAACCAAACUAAACACUGGUUUUGUCUCAAUGGAAAUUUUUUUUUUUUUUUUUUUUUUUUUUU
Non-coding RNA from Anas platyrhynchos (mallard), 5538 nucleotides. The record is from RefSeq and is a predicted model, not a curated record. NCBI's taxonomy places the organism in Eukaryota, Metazoa, Chordata, Aves, Anseriformes, Anatidae.